This 140-nucleotide ribosomal RNA is filed under the name soil bacterium dns7. RNAcentral's name for it is "partial 16S ribosomal RNA". It matches the Rfam family "Bacterial small subunit ribosomal RNA", at positions 355 to 507 of the family's 1533-position model. Lineage: Bacteria; Bacillati; Actinomycetota; Actinomycetes; Micrococcales. The record is from RNAcentral. RNAcentral also lists the same sequence under 1 other name.
UGGGGAAUAUUGCACAAUGGGCGCAAGCCUGAUGCAGCAACGCCGCGUGAGGGACGACGGCCUUCGGGUUGUAAACCUCUUUUAGCAGGGAAGAAGCGAAAGUGACGGUACCUGCAGAAAAAGCGCCGGCUAACUACGUG